CCUACGGGAGGCAGCAGUGGGGAAUAUUGGGCAAUGGGCGCAAGCCUGACCCAGCAACGCCGCGUGAAGGAAGAAGGCUCUCGGGUUGUAAACUUCUUUUAUCAGGGACGAAGCAAGUGACGGUACCUGAUGAAUAAGCCACGGCUAACUACGUGCAAGCAGCCGCGGUAAUACGUCGGUGGCAAGCGUUCUCCGGAUUUACUGGGUGUAAAGGGCGUGUAGGCGGGAAAGCAAGUCAGAUGUGAAAACCAUGGGCUCAACCUGUGGCCUGCAUUUGAAACUGUUUUUCUUGAGUACUGGAGAGGCAGACGGAAUUCCUGGUGUAGCGGUGAAAUGCGUAGAUAUUAGGAGGAACACCAGUGGCGAAGGCGGUCUGCUGGACAGCAACUGACGCUGAGGCGCGAAAGCGUGGGGAGCAAACAGGAUUAGAUACCCUGGUAGUC
RNAcentral lists this ribosomal RNA (443 nucleotides) under uncultured bacterium. RNAcentral's name for it is "partial 16S ribosomal RNA". It matches the Rfam family "Bacterial small subunit ribosomal RNA", at positions 338 to 795 of the family's 1533-position model. The record is from RNAcentral.